AAAAGCUGCACUGAUCUAGUUGCCACUCAAAUCCAUCCGCUACGUCAUCUUUCUCUCACACUGCCACAGGCAAUUUUGUUGGGGUGGUCGUCCGCCUUUGACAGUGAGCUCAACCUACUCUCCUCCGGUUGCUGAUGGAUGACAGAGACUGGUGUCUCCGAGGUAUACAUGUAACUGACGGCAUUAUGAACUGGGAAAUCUGCAGAGGCCAGGUGCCAGAAUCUCACUGGUCACCAUGGUAACAGUUUCUAGUUUAGCAAGAAUAACAACUUGUACAUGCAUGGCAUGUACCGUAGUUUUAUUUAAUCACUCUCAAAUUGAAGUACCUUAAUGCUGAUUGGCUUUUAUUUUCCUAAAUAUCCUCACUUGGAAUUGUGAAUACCUUAAUUGCUUGUGUGUUUGUUGUGGGUUUGGGGUAUCUUUCAGAAGUUUGCCCUGCCGUUUUGGAAAUUGUCUCAACCAUAAUCUUCUUUCAUCUUUCAUGUUUGCAGUUCAGCUGCUCUUUUGAAAACAAGAGUUAAAGUCAAGAAAUAGACCAGACAUGCUUCUACAAUCUUCCAUGUUUGAGAACCUGGGGAAGAAUGAGCACGAGUGUGCCCUCACUGGUGAAAAAGAAAGAGGCUGGGCUGACUGACUGCUGUUCCUUGGGAAACACAACCAAACAAAGGAAUACCAAAUUGAAAGAAGGGCCCAACUCCAACAAAACCAUUUUUGAGUUCAAACGAAAGAACUGACAAUAUUUUUUGACGGAGUUGCACAGGAAAUCAAUUAACUCUCCUUGGCCAAAAUGGUAGAGUUGGGCCUUUCUUUUUAAUCCUAUUUCUGGUUUCCUGGAGGCCUGUUUGUAUCACACGUCAGUGAUCAGUGAUCUGUCACUGGUUCACCGACACUGAAACCUGCCUAAUGAAUAGUGUGAACCAGCCUCAUCCAGAUCUCUGUGAAACAUACAGGCCCUUUAUAGUUGACAGUAGAGGUACGGGCAUCACAGGCAAGGUGGCAGGGGGUACUUGCUAUCCAGAAAUUUAGAAUUAAAGGAAGAAAAGACAGAUAAAGAGAAACAAAAAAUACAGGGAAUGAAAAUGGUCAAAAUGGCCAACUUGUGUGAAAACGCCUUGGAAUUGACCCCUUGCAACGUUAAUGAUCGUUCUGCUGCUGAUUAAAGGUUUUGUGCCCUCAAAGGAAAAAUCCUGGCACCACCCGCACGUGGAGGCAACUUUGAACGAGUUUUGUGAACAAGCUCUCAUGUACA
Acanthaster planci (crown-of-thorns starfish) is the source of this 1249-nucleotide unclassified non-coding RNA. NCBI's taxonomy places the organism in Eukaryota, Metazoa, Echinodermata, Asteroidea, Valvatida, Acanthasteridae. The record is from RefSeq and is a predicted model, not a curated record.